RNAcentral lists this ribosomal RNA (497 nucleotides) under uncultured bacterium. Its description in RNAcentral is "partial 16S ribosomal RNA". It matches the Rfam family "Bacterial small subunit ribosomal RNA", at positions 28 to 507 of the family's 1533-position model. The record is from RNAcentral.
GACGAACGCUGGCGGCGUGCCUAAUACAUGCAAGUUGAGCGCUGAAGGUUGGUACUUGUACCAACUGGAUGAGCAGCGAACGGGUGAGUAACGCGUGGGGAAUCUGCCUUUGAGCGGGGGACAACAUUUGGAAACGAAUGCUAAUACCGCAUAAAAACUUUAAACACAAGUUUUAAGUUUGAAAGAUGCAAUUGCCUCACUCAAAGAUGAUCCCGCGUUGUAUUAGCUAGUUGGUGAGGUAAAGGCUCACCAAGGCGAUGAUACAUAGCCGACCUGAGGGGGUGAUCGGCCACAUUGGGACUGGGACACGGCCCAAACUCCUACGGGAGGCAGCAGUAGGGAAUCUUCGGCAAUGGACGAAAGUCUGACCGAGCAACGCCGCGUGAGUGAAGAAGGUUUUCGGAUCGUAAAACUCUGUUGGUAGAGAAGAACGUUGGUGAGAGUGGAAAGCUCAUCAAGUGACGGUAACUACCCAGAAAGGGACGGCUAACUACGUG